CUUGUUCCUUGGGGUUAAUUCUAUUGACAGUUGUACCCACAUCAUCGGCUACUUCAGUUUUUUCGAUAUCUUUUGGAGUUCCUGGAGCCGAGCCAUAUGCUUCUUCCCUGUCCUGUGUGCCUCCAUUGAUUUCUCAGACAAAGCCCUACAAUAAUAAUGCAAUAAAAUCCAGAUAACAAAAAAGGUCUUUUAACUUUUCAGUCAUGUUAUAUCACUCACAAUAAUAGACAAAUACAUAUACU
This 242-nucleotide long non-coding RNA is filed under the name Nicotiana benthamiana. RNAcentral describes it as "long non-coding RNA (NBEN_LNC018325)". The record is from RNAcentral. Lineage: Eukaryota; Viridiplantae; Streptophyta; Magnoliopsida; Solanales; Solanaceae.